Molecule: transfer RNA, 75 nt
Filed under: Mycobacteroides immunogenum
Lineage: Bacteria; Bacillati; Actinomycetota; Actinomycetes; Mycobacteriales; Mycobacteriaceae
Description: tRNA-Thr
Rfam family: tRNA
About the family: Transfer RNA (tRNA) molecules are approximately 80 nucleotides in length. Their secondary structure includes four short double-helical elements and three loops (D, anti-codon, and T loops).
Source: RNAcentral
GCCGGAUUAGCUCAACAGGAAGAGCGCCUGUCUUGUAACCAGGUGAAGCGGGUUCGAGUCCUGCAUUCGGCUCCA